This 378-nucleotide ribosomal RNA is filed under the name uncultured bacterium. RNAcentral's name for it is "bacterial SSU rRNA". It matches the Rfam family "Bacterial small subunit ribosomal RNA", at positions 790 to 1167 of the family's 1533-position model. The record is from RNAcentral.
GUAGUCCACGCCGUAAACGAUGUCUACUAGUCGUUGGGUCCCUUGAGGACUUAGUGACGCAGCUAACGCAAUAAGUAGACCGCCUGGGGAGUACGGCCGCAAGGUUAAAACUCAAAUGAAUUGACGGGGGCCCGCACAAGCGGUGGAGCAUGUGGUUUAAUUCGAUGCAACGCGAAGAACCUUACCUGGUCUUGACAUAUCUAGAAUCCUGCAGAGAUGCGGGAGUGCCUUCGGGAAUUAGAAUACAGGUGCUGCAUGGCUGUCGUCAGCUCGUGUCGUGAGAUGUUGGGUUAAGUCCCGCAACGAGCGCAACCCUUGUCCUUAGUUACCAGCGGGUUAAGCCGGGAACUCUAAGGAUACUGCCAGUGACAAACUGGA